RNAcentral lists this ribosomal RNA (419 nucleotides) under uncultured bacterium. RNAcentral describes it as "bacterial SSU rRNA". It matches the Rfam family "Bacterial small subunit ribosomal RNA", at positions 355 to 791 of the family's 1533-position model. The record is from RNAcentral.
UGGGGAAUAUUGCACAAUGGGGGAAACCCUGAUGCAGCGACGCCGCGUGGAGGAAGAAGGUCUUCGGAUUGUAAACUCCUGUUGUUGAGGAAGAUAAUGACGGUACUCAACAAGGAAGUGACGGCUAACUACGUGCCAGCAGCCGCGGUAAAACGUAGGUCACAAGCGUUGUCCGGAAUUACUGGGUGUAAAGGGAGCGCAGGCGGGAGAACAAGUUGGAAGUGAAAUCCAUGGGCUCAACCCAUGAACUGCUUUCAAAACUGUUUUUCUUGAGUAGUGCAGAGGUAGGCGGAAUUCCCGGUGUAGCGGUGGAAUGCGUAGAUAUCGGGAGGAACACCAGUGGCGAAGGCGGCCUACUGGGCACCAACUGACGCUGAGGCUCGAAAGUGUGGGUAGCAAACAGGAUUAGAUACCCCUGU